GGGAGCUUGCUCCCUGAUGUUAGCGGCGGACGGGUGAGUAACACGUGGGUAACCUGCCUGUAAGACUGGGAUAACUCCGGGAAACCGGGGCUAAUACCGGAUACUUGUUUGAACCGCAUGGUUCAAACAUAAAAGGUGGCUUCGGCUACCACUUACAGAUGGACCCGCGGCGCAUUAGCUAGUUGGUGAGGUAAUGGCUCACCAAGGCAACGAUGCGUAGCCGACCUGAGAGGGUGAUCGGCCACACUGGGACUGAGACACGGCCCAGACUCCUACGGGAGGCAGCAGUAGGGAAUCUUCCGCAAUGGACGAAAGUCUGACGGAGCAACGCCGCGUGAGUGAUGAAGGUUUUCGGAUCGUAAAGCUCUGUUGUUAGGGAAGAACAAGUGCCGUUCAAAUAGGGCGGCACCUUGACGGUACCUAACCAGAAAGCCACGGCUAACUACGUGCCAGCAGCCGCGGUAAUACGUAGGUGGCAAGCGUUGUCCGGAAUUAUUGGGCGUAAAGGGCUCGCAGGCGGUUUCUUAAGUCUGAUGUGAAAGCCCCCGGCUCAACCGGGGAGGGUCAUUGGAAACUGGGGAACUUGAGUGCAGAAGAGGAGAGUGGAAUUCCACGUGUAGCGGUGAAAUGCGUAGAGAUGUGGAGGAACACCAGUGGCGAAGGCGACUCUCUGGUCUGUAACUGACGCUGAGGAGCGAAAGCGUGGGGAGCGAACAGGAUUAGAUACCCUGGUAGUCCACGCCGUAAACGAUGAGUGCUAAGUGUUAAGGGGGUUUCCGCCCCUUAGUGCUGCAG
RNAcentral lists this ribosomal RNA (795 nucleotides) under Bacillus sp. (in: firmicutes). RNAcentral describes it as "bacterial SSU rRNA". It matches the Rfam family "Bacterial small subunit ribosomal RNA", at positions 74 to 851 of the family's 1533-position model. The record is from RNAcentral. Lineage: Bacteria; Bacillati; Bacillota; Bacilli; Caryophanales; Bacillaceae.